GGUGGCGGGCGCGGCAGCGACGAGAUGUAAAAUGUAAAAUGAAAUGGGAAUGAGAUGGUGAUAGAAAGAAAAGGAACGGUAAAGACCUAGGUUCUUUACCGAGAGUAGCCCGUCGACUUUCGAUAACUAUUGUGAACGGCUAGGUUUAGGUGCUUUACCCAGUGUAACGCUCGGUAAAUGUAGUCUUUACCAAGAGCGGCCAGGCGACUCUCGGGAACCAUUGUGAACGGCUAGGUUUAGGUGCUUUACCGAGAGCGGCAUGUUGACUUUCGAUAACUAUUGUGCCAUUCUUUUAUUUCCAUUUU
This 305-nucleotide long non-coding RNA is filed under the name Hordeum vulgare. Its description in RNAcentral is "long non-coding RNA (HVUL_LNC011837)". The record is from RNAcentral. Lineage: Eukaryota; Viridiplantae; Streptophyta; Magnoliopsida; Poales; Poaceae.